Long non-coding RNA from Culex pipiens pallens (northern house mosquito), 4072 nucleotides. RefSeq lists it as uncharacterized. The transcript has 4 exons. NCBI's taxonomy places the organism in Eukaryota, Metazoa, Arthropoda, Insecta, Diptera, Culicidae. The record is from RefSeq and is a predicted model, not a curated record.
UCGUGGUUCUCAUUUUCAUGAACGCUUGUUCACGAUUUAGGGAACUCUUUUUUCUCCGUGCACAAUGCACAUUCUUGCCUGCCACGAUAUGUUCUUAAACGGUUCUCAAAACGUUUGCCUAACUCACUUCUUAAUCUGACCGUUUAACAACAUCCUGAACGGUUCUAACAACGUUUACUUAACCCUCUACUGCCCAAAUUUUUUUUUUCGAAAAUAUUUAUUUUUCCCCUGUUCAGGAGGUCAUUUUGAGCAACUUUUGUUCUACGAAAAACUUUACUUCUCUUGUUUUAUGUUUUUCUUGUAUCUUGUUUAGUUUAUGUUUGUUUUUGGUAGUAUUUGGCCUACUCUACCAUCUAAUAUAAUUACAUUUCGCCUAUCUAAUUUUUUCAUGUUUUUACAGUCACUUUUUCAAUUUUUUGCAUGUUUUUCACAUUUUCUGCCAUAGAAUCGCACCAUCAUCAUUUAAAUUGCAAAAAAAUGCGUAGAGGCAUAGUCUGGGACACUACAAAAAUUACUGCAUACUUCUUUUUACUGAAAAUAUAGGAAAUGUUAGUAAAAAACACAGCCAAAGUUGACCCCUAAAAAAAUGACAUUUCAAAAAACAUUGGCAAAGUCACAUAAAACAAGUUAAACUUCCAACCCUGAAAUUUUCUAAAAUUUUAAGAGUUCUACUUUCCAAUGCUUUUUAAAUAUCAAAAAUCGGUUAGAAAAUUGAUUUUUGGCGAUUUUUUAGAUCGAAGCCCGUCUAAAGGCGGGGUUAGGUUGUAGAGGGUUAAUGCAAAGCAGUUUUCAUGGCAAACCAAUUCAUAACAAACCCGGAUCCAGCCAAAGACUAAGGAAAAUGCUCUGCUGGUAAAUUCUUCCAGAUAGAGAACUGUCACAGGCUCCCAGGGACAAAAGCAGCAAACAGUUAGUGCCUGGUUAGUGCCUUUUUUCCGGUCUUCGAAGGAAACGCUACACGAGGACGUGGUAGAGUAAGAGAACAAAGGGGUCCUCAAGACGAGUUAAUUGAUAGGUUUACAAGCAAAACUAUUUUCAGGUGAUCCGGUAAGACCGGAUUGGCCAACAAUCGGACAUAGGUCAGACGGGUGUUACGGCAAUAUUUGUAUUUUUAACGAUAUUUAAAUCAAUAUUUUGGACUGUCUCAAAGCGUCAAAGCAAAUAUAAUCACGAGGGUUUUCUUACAAAAUAAGUUAUCACUUAAAAUUAUAUUCUCACGUCACAAAUUGAUUCAUUUAUUACAGUCAAAACAGUGCAGAUCAAUACGUAUCACUACACAAUCGAAAAACAACAAAAAUGUACGCUAACUGAUUGAUUUGCUUCAAAUAAAAAUUCAAAACAAAAAGCGCUGCGCACAGCAAAAUACAUCCAUCUCGUGCGGUGGCGCGAAAAGCAGUGACAGUGACAGCAGCAACAAGCUUUUUCGUUUCUUGUGUUUCUUCUCUUCGCUGCGCUUAAACUUUAUUUUUUUCUCUCGCUCUCCCACCAUCGCUUUAAAGCUUAAUGUUUGAAUAUUUUCCCGUUCGCAUCGGAGUGGCGCUAGUGUUUUGAUGCCUGAAAUUUGACGGAGUUGACGGCAUGUGGGAGGUAGAAAGCCAUUGGCGUCGCCAGCAUUGAAAACUUUGAAAACGAUAUAAACGAUGAAAAGCUUAGAAAGCUCCUAUUGGAAUCCAAUGAACACUGUCAAAUAAACUUACGAAAUCACGAAAAAUGAAGUCUACAUUCCCUGUUUGAAAAAUGUCGCACGUCGUACGAGUUGUCGCACGGUUUUGAUUUUACCGUUUCGAUAUCGAUUGGUCGAAAGGACGACAAACGUGCGACAAACACUCGACAUGCUCGACAUUGUUUUUUCCAUCGAUUUACCUUCAAUUCGACGUCGAUUAUCGUCGACGCAAACAGUUUGACAGUUCUCUUCAGUUGAUCUUGUUCGGACUUGAUCAAAUCAGAAAAACAAUAUUGUUGUAAAGGUUCGUGAGGAUUUUGGCUGGUUGAUUGACUUCCUGAUUUCAGCCUUCGCGACGGUGGAAGAGAACGUGAAACAUCGUUAACCCGGCGGAUCAUGCCGGAAGAUGGGACGGGAAGGAACCGGUCUGCGAUCGAAAGCGGAUUGGGAUCUGUAUCAAACAGUCUCCAAACAGGACAAUGAAAGUGUUGGUGGUGUUUGAUUUUUAGAGAAUGUCAAAAUCGCCAUUAUCAAUACUAAGACCUGGAAAAAAAGAACAAACUUGCGGCCGAGUACAACCUCUGAGUGAAAGCGAUGGAGGUGAACGAACUACUCACGGGGCAGCACACGAAUUCUACCAGAUUGGCCAUCAUCAAGCGAAAUUUGGAAAAUUGUGACUGCAGUGAUAGUGAAUAUUUGGAAAACAAAGUGCCAGGCCAGUGAAAACUAAUAGAUAUCAAUAAAAAUCAGCAAAACAACAAAUAAAAUGAAUUUUAUUUCGAAAAUAACCUAAAAAUUCCUAAAUGACAGCACACGACAAUAGCACGACAUCCUAAAUAACAAAACCGUGCGACGUCGGUCGAAUGUCGUACGACAAUGUCGAACAAUUUCGAUGAUCGAUCGCACGACAAAUACGACAUUUUGGUGCAAAAACGUAUGACAUUCGUGCGAAUGUCGCACGACAUUGUCGUGCGACGUCGUACGAUUGCACGUACGACAAACGACGGACGUCGGACGGACUUUUCAGUCAGGGUUUAGGCGAUUUUAGGAGCGCACGGGAAACAAAUUGAUUGUAGCCGGAUGAAUGUCCUAUGUCACAAAAGUUUUUGCAUAAACAUUGGACAGUUAUGCAAAAACGGACAGGGCAAAAGAAACCGAAAAGCAACGGUAUCUUACAUGUUGAAGGAAACAUCGGUAGACAAGCAUUCCUUUGUGGACCACCGAUCAGUGCGGUACUCUUGGAUAUUAGCUCCUGAAAAGUGCUUUAAAAGUGCAAAAAUGCCUCAUGGCAAGAAAAAGAGGCGGUCCUCACCAGCAGGAUCGGCAGAUUUGAAGAAGCUAAAGAAUUCCGAAGCGCUACCUGCAAAGCCAGGCAGUUUGAGCAAGGACGCUUGUUCAGCACAGAGCGAACGGCCCGAGCAGGGGUAAAUAACACGGGAAUACCAAAUUUUGGUAUUACUUGGGCAAAUAACAGGGACCAAAAUGUGCCCUUGCACGGAAAGAAGGUUUAUCGUGAAUCUUACUAAAAUUUGGUUAAAAAUCCUAAAAAAAUUGGUUGUUUUUUCAACCACCAUUUUUUUUAGUUAGAAAUCCUAAAAAAAAAUCCUGGAUCUGACAGCUGGAACUAGGUCAAAAAAAUAGUAAAUCUAGCUAAAAUGUUAGCAAAUUUUACUAAUUUGUAUGCUGGAAAAAUGCUGUCAGUCUCAAAAGCUGUAUGUUUUCAGAAAGUCUGUUAGCUAUUUUAGCUGGAUUUUAAGGUAUUCUAGCAAGCUUUAUGGUUAGCCCAGCGAGUUUUUAGGCUAUUUCAACUAGUUUUUUAGGAAUAAUUUUCAAAAUUUUCCAUUGAUGGCUGCGAAUCCAGAUAUCUUAACAAAUCUUUUUAGCUAGUUUAGCUAACCUUGCCACUAUUCUUGGUGGGUGUUUUGGUUAGAAUAGCUACUUUUUCUGCUAUUUCUACAAGUUUUUUUUUCAAAAGCCUCCGUUGCUGCCAGUAAAGCUCGCUUUAUUCACCCAGCCUUUGGCUGAUUUAGCUCAUUUCUUUUCUGAUCUUGCAACGUUUCUCGGUACAUCCAGCUAAUUUUUCGAUUUUUCGAUAACUAGUAAUUUUGAAAUCUCUUUAAAAAAAAACCGUUGCUGCCUGCAAAACUGGUUUUUUUCAACAAGUACGUUUUUUGGAAGUCCAGCAAAUUUUUUGAAUGUUUCAAUAGAUUCCAGGCUUUUUCAACUUUGUUAUAAUUGACCAUCCUGAUAUUCUAUUGAGUUAUAUUGAGUAUAUAUUCUAUUGACAAAUUUAAUAAAAAUACAAAAAUACAAAAAUACAAAAAUACAAAAGUACAAAAAUACAAAAAUACAAAAAUACAAAAAUACAAAAAUACAAAAAUACAAAAAUACAAAAAUACAAAAAUACAA